RNAcentral lists this ribosomal RNA (856 nucleotides) under Microbacterium foliorum. RNAcentral's name for it is "bacterial SSU rRNA". It matches the Rfam family "Bacterial small subunit ribosomal RNA", at positions 8 to 872 of the family's 1533-position model. Lineage: Bacteria; Bacillati; Actinomycetota; Actinomycetes; Micrococcales; Microbacteriaceae. The record is from RNAcentral.
AGAGUUUGGAUCCUUGGCUCAGGAUGAACGCUGGCGGCGUGCUUAACACAUGCAAGUCGAACGGUGAACACGGAGCUUGCUCUGUGGGAUCAGUGGCGAACGGGUGAGUAACACGUGAGCAACCUGCCCCUGACUCUGGGAUAAGCGCUGGAAACGGCGUCUAAUACUGGAUACGAGUAGCGGCCGCAUGGUCAGUUACUGGAAAGAUUUUUUGGUUGGGGAUGGGCUCGCGGCCUAUCAGCUUGUUGGUGAGGUAAUGGCUCACCAAGGCGUCGACGGGUAGCCGGCCUGAGAGGGUGACCGGCCACACUGGGACUGAGACACGGCCCAGACUCCUACGGGAGGCAGCAGUGGGGAAUAUUGCACAAUGGGCGGAAGCCUGAUGCAGCAACGCCGCGUGAGGGAUGACGGCCUUCGGGUUGUAAACCUCUUUUAGCAGGGAAGAAGCGAAAGUGACGGUACCUGCAGAAAAAGCGCCGGCUAACUACGUGCCAGCAGCCGCGGUAAUACGUAGGGCGCAAGCGUUAUCCGGAAUUAUUGGGCGUAAAGAGCUCGUAGGCGGUUUGUCGCGUCUGCUGUGAAAUCCCGAGGCUCAACCUCGGGCCUGCAGUGGGUACGGGCAGACUAGAGUGCGGUAGGGGAGAUUGGAAUUCCUGGUGUAGCGGUGGAAUGCGCAGAUAUCAGGAGGAACACCGAUGGCGAAGGCAGAUCUCUGGGCCGUAACUGACGCUGAGGAGCGAAAGGGUGGGGAGCAAACAGGCUUAGAUACCCUGGUAGUCCACCCCGUAAACGUUGGGAACUAGUUGUGGGGUCCAUUCCACGGAUUCCGUGACGCAGCUAACGCAUUAAGUCCCGC